GCUUACCAUGCAGUCGAACGGUAAGGCCCCUUCGGGGGUACACGAGUGGCGAACGGGUGAGUAACACGUGAGCAACCUGCCCUUGACUUCGGAAUACCAGCUGGAAACAGCUGCUAAUACCGGAUAUGACCUCGACCUUCCUGGGUCGGGGUGGAAAGCUCCGGCGGUCAGGGAUGGGCUCGCGGCCUAUCAGCUUGUUGGUGGGGUGAUGGCCUACCAAGGCUUCGACGGGUAGCCGGCCUGAGAGGGCGACCGGCCACACUGGGACUGAGAUACGGCCCAGACUCCUACGGGAGGCAGCAGUGGGGAAUAUUGCACAAUGGGCGCAAGCCUGAUGCAGCAACGCCGCGUGCGGGAUGACGGCCUUCGGGUUGUAAACCGCUUUCAGUAGGGACGAAGCUAACGUGACGGUACCUACAGAAGAAGGACCGGCUAACUACGUGCCAGCAGCCGCGGUGAUACGUAGGGUCCGAGCGUUGUCCGGAAUUAUUGGGCGUAAAGGGCUUGUAGGCGGUCCGUCGCGUCAGGAGUGAAAACUCGGGGCUUAACCCCGAGCCUGCUUUUGAUACGGGCGGACUAGAGGGAUGCAGGGGAGAACGGAAUUCCUGGUGGAGCGGUGGAAUGCGCAGAUAUCAGGAGGAACACCGGUGGCGAAGGCGGUUCUCUGGGCAUUACCUGACGCUGAGAAGCGAAAGCGUGGGGAGCAAACAGGCUUAGAUACCCUGGUAGUCCACGCCGUAAACGGUGGGCACUAGGGUGUGGGGGACAUUCCACGUUCUCCGUGCCGAAGCUAACGCAUAAGUGCCC
Molecule: ribosomal RNA, 807 nt
Filed under: Friedmanniella sp.
Lineage: Bacteria; Bacillati; Actinomycetota; Actinomycetes; Propionibacteriales; Nocardioidaceae
Description: bacterial SSU rRNA
Rfam family: Bacterial small subunit ribosomal RNA
Source: RNAcentral